RNAcentral lists this small RNA (119 nucleotides) under Callithrix jacchus (white-tufted-ear marmoset). RNAcentral describes it as "Metazoan signal recognition particle RNA (ENSCJAG00000068913.2)". Lineage: Eukaryota; Metazoa; Chordata; Mammalia; Primates; Cebidae. The record is from Rfam by way of RNAcentral.
GCUGGGCGUGGUGGCUCACGCCUGUAAUCCCAGCACUUCGGGAGGCUGAGGUGGGUGGAUCAUCUGAGGUCAGGAGUUAGAGAGACCAGCCUGGCCAACAUGGUGAAACCCCAUCUCUA